GGGAGCAGCCCAACCUUCUCUCUCUCAAAAUUUUUGCCCUCUAUCUCUCUUUGUAAAGAGAGCAGCCUCCAGCCCUUUGGCUCUCUCGUCUCCCUCGUUUGAGAAGUUACCGGCGAACUCCGGCCAGCCACCCCCGUCCUAGGCUGUCUGAUCUCGCUGCCCUACUCUCAUCUCUCUCACCUCUCUUUCCGUUGCGACGAACUCAUCGGGAAUCGGUGAACCUGCAGAUGGCGUUUCAGGUCUAACGAGAUCUGGCCGGAAACGAUGUUAAAUCCGGCGACCUCGUUUGAAAUCGACACCAUGUUUAUCUCAUUUUGAUGCUGACUUGUUUGUUAUUGUUGUUGUGCUCGAUUUUCUGGCAGCCUGUAUUCCGAUGACCGUCCGAGGAAGUAACGCCGGAAAUAAUACCGGUGAAGACUCCUCUUGCUCUGCCGUUUUCAUUUUUUCCAGAUCUGGACGGAGACUCAGAUUUUGGCCCGAAUUGUGCCGUUUCUGGUGACCAUUGAGGCUUCUCUUACAUAUCUCGAUGCUGCCUCUGUUUGGAUCCUUGUUUACGCUGUUCUUUCGUCUGCUUUAAUUACUUUGUUACUGUUGUUACUACAUUAUUUUGACGCGGUUUGGUUAUAUUUCCAUUUUUUGCGUUCUUGAUGCUUCUGUCUUUGUUGUUGCAAUUGGGUUCCGUUUGGUUUGCUGUUGUUCUAAGGGACUUGUCCGGUUGUAAUUUCCAUGAGGCCGUAAAGCUCGUCGGAAAUUGUCUCCGGACGUUGAUGGUUUGCCACUGCCUCCGUCCAAAAAUAUUUUCAAAAAAUAAUCUUUCAAAAACAUUUUCAAAUAAAAUCAUUUCCAAAAUAAAUUAGUUUAUUGUUUACUUUAUACUUUACUAAUAAUUUCACUUUUCUUGUCUUGCGAGGUACUAGAACAUGGAGUUGUUUUCGGGGGACGUCACCCAAAGACGAAAAGACAAAUCUCCUUUCAAGCUCCCCGCUUCACACUUCCUAUUCUUGGAUUAGGCGCAAUUUGGAGGAUCAGUUUAUGCACUCUAUUUUGUUCUUCUCGUCCCACCAUCUUUUGAAUGUUCCUAUGAUAGUGCCAGACUCAUGCUUAAUACCCAGGGGAUUGCCAAUUUCAUUCCAAAUGUAAAUCGCAGCAUCACUAUUCAUGAAAGCAUGUUCCAUAGUUUUCACCUGUGCGAAGUUACACCAAGAACAUCUAGAGAGUACAUGUGAUCGGUUGUACUCAUACUAUAUUCUGCACUUCUUGUGAAGAUUUUGGAGUCUGUCCCAAUGGCGGUUAGUAGCUUGCUCGAGUUGACUAUUAGUGUGGAGACUUGAGAUGGCGAGAACACGCACCGCAUCUACCGCUAGACAGGAGUCGGAGCCCCAUGUGGCAGCUACGAUUAGGGGUAGAGGUUGAGGUCGAGGUCGUGCCAGAGGCCGAGGCAGAGGCAGAGGCAGAGGCAGAGCUCAACCUAGAGCUCGAGCAGCACCACCACCAGUGGAGCCUCAUGUAUAUUUUGCUGAGCGGGUCCCAGCUCAGACUGUACCUGUUGUACCAGCUCAGGUCCCAGAGGAGUUUAUAGCCACUCUUGUACUUCAGGACACUCUAGUCCAUUUGGUGGGCCUUAUGGAGAGUGUGGCCCAGACCAGUACCUUUCCGGUGGCACCAUCCAUCUCUCGGGCUGGGGGAGGAGCAUAGAUUCCCGCUACUCACACUCCAGAGUAGGUGGCUCCCUAGUUCCAGACUCCAACAGCCCCGCCAGUUUGCGUAGUUCAGUCGGUUAUUGCGGCACAUGCCGGUAAUAGGCCCGCUUUGUCUUCUGAGGCUAUGUUGAGGUUGGAUAAGUUCACCAAACUCUUUCAUGUUCAUUUCACUAGCGCACCUUCUGAGGACUCACGGGAUUUUUUGGACCGUUGCCAUGAAGUGCUGCGUAACAUGGGUAUAGUUGAUACCAAUGGGGUCGAUGUUGCCGCAUUUCAGAUGUCUGGUUCCCCCAGAGAUGGUGGAGGGAUUAUAUGUUGACUAGACUAGCUGAGUCGCCUGCACUUAUCUGGGAUCAGUUCUCACAGCUAUUUCUAGACAAGUUCAUCCCUGUCACCCUGAGAGAGGAGUAUCGCAGGCAGUUUGAGCGACUUCAGCAGGGUGGUAUGACUGUCACCUAGUACGAGACUCGAUUUGUGGACUUAAACUAGGGAGGCAGGGGUGCUUUUGGUAGAGACCAUCUUCCCAGGCCAUUUCAUUCAACUCUUCAGGCAUCUCACAGUGCUUCAGGGAGUCGUGGUCCUUAUGUGCCUUAUUCCGGGCAGCCAGCCUAUAGUGCACCAUCAGCUCCUAUCAGUGCGCCUCUGAUUCAGAGCUAUCACCGUGGUUAUCCGACCCAUUCGGUUUAGUUUCAAUUUCAGCAGCCACACCAGCAGGAUGGGUGUUUUGAGUGUGGUGGUAUGGGGCACAUCAGGAGGUCCUGUCCGAGGUUAUUGGGCGUCAUGCCAUAAUAGAGUUCUCGUGCCAUGGUUCCGGCACCGGUUGCACCACCGCCCCCUCAGCCAGCCAGGUGCAGGGGUCAGGCAGCCAGAGGUGGGGGUUAGGCUGUUAGAGGCAGAGGCCAGCCAACUAGAGACCGUCCUAGAGAUAUAGUUCAGAGUGGUGGGCCCCAACCCCAUGUAUUGUUCCUAAUUUAAUUCGGGAUCUACUUAUUCCUACAUGUCAUCCUAUUUUGCUGCAUAUCUGGUUGUG
Non-coding RNA from Nicotiana tabacum (common tobacco), 2730 nucleotides. The record is from RefSeq and is a predicted model, not a curated record. NCBI's taxonomy places the organism in Eukaryota, Viridiplantae, Streptophyta, Magnoliopsida, Solanales, Solanaceae.